This 527-nucleotide ribosomal RNA is filed under the name Segonzacia mesatlantica. Its description in RNAcentral is "partial 16S ribosomal RNA". It matches the Rfam family "Bacterial large subunit ribosomal RNA", at positions 1831 to 2597 of the family's 2925-position model. Lineage: Eukaryota; Metazoa; Arthropoda; Malacostraca; Decapoda; Bythograeidae. The record is from RNAcentral.
GUCUAUUUGGAGAUAUAAAUAGUCUAACCUGCUCACUGACAAAGUAAUAUUGUUAAAGAGCCGCGGUAUCCUGACCGUGCAAAGGUAGCAUAAUAAUUAGUUUUUUAAUUGGAAACUUGUAUGAAGGGUUGGACAAAGGAAAAGCUGUCUUUAUAGUAUAAAUUGAAGUUAACCUUUAAGUGAAAAGGCUUAAAUAUUCCAAGGGGACGAUAAGACCCUAUAAAACUUUAUAUAUUAAUUAGAUUUAAUUUGAAUAAAGAAUAAAGAUUCAAUUUGAUUGUUGUAUUUUGUUGGGGCGAUAUAGGUAUAAUUUAUAUUAACUGCUUAGAUUUUAUACAUUAUAUAAAUGAAUUAGAGAAUUAAGUGAUCCUUUUUAGAGAUUAAAAGACUAAGUUACUUUAGGGAUAACAGCGUAAUUUUUUUUGAGAGUUCAUAUCGAAAAAAAAGUUUGCGACCUCGAUGUUGAAUUAAAAUAUCUAUAUAAUGCAGCAGUUAUAUAAGAAGGUCUGUUCGACCUUUAAAUUUUU